Molecule: long non-coding RNA, 241 nt
Filed under: Musa acuminata (dwarf banana)
Lineage: Eukaryota; Viridiplantae; Streptophyta; Magnoliopsida; Zingiberales; Musaceae
Description: long non-coding RNA (MACU_LNC005758)
Source: RNAcentral
ACGUGUGACUUGAUACAAAAUCUUUUUGCUUAUUAUAUUUUGGCGUAUAUCACUUUAUAACUAUUGCAUAAAUGCAUAUAUAUAUUAUGAUGUCCUUGGAUUUGUGCAAUGGGAAUCGGAUCGUGAUGAGAUCACGAUAAUGAGAUCGAUUCACCUUUAAACACAUAUCCUAAAUAAUCCCGGUCAUAGUUUACUCGAGAGGGACAUCGUGAUAACCGGAUAGACUGGUGUGCUGUAUACC